CAAAACUAUUUGGAAGAAAGCAACAAUUUGCAGUACUGGUUGAACCCUCUUGAGAAAGGUUUCCAGAGUGUAUCAAACUAGAAUCCUUCACAGUUUCUUGAUAGAAUUAUUUUAAAUACUACUCGACAUAGUCAUUAAAUAACUAUCUACUAAGGUAAUCUUUAUGUUUCUGGAGUUCAGUGUAACAGUUAUAAUUUCUACAUGUUUUGCUAAAUACCUUAGGUUGGAAACAAUGGAAGAUCAUGUGUAAUUAAUUCAAGCAGUUGGUUCAUGAGUAUUUAUGUAAUAUUUGAAAUUUAAAUUUAUGUUCUUUUUUCCCAUCAAACUUCAUUACUGUAAAUCAGCAAUGUGACAUGUCUCAUGAUUAUUAUUUCCUUAUUAAGUGGGCCAUGUCUAAAAGUUUGUCCCUUCAUGGUUGAACCCUUUGGAUUGUAUUUCUCCAUUAAAGUUUCUGUCUUUCCAUAAAGAUUAUUCUACAGUUGAGUGGGUAAAGAACAUUCCUCUACAUUAACA
This 513-nucleotide long non-coding RNA is filed under the name Bos taurus (domestic cattle). RNAcentral describes it as "long non-coding RNA NONBTAT002633". Lineage: Eukaryota; Metazoa; Chordata; Mammalia; Artiodactyla; Bovidae. The record is from RNAcentral.